GGAAUAUNGUCAAUGGACNGAUUUUGAACCACCAAGUAGCGUGCAGGAUGACGCCCNUAUGGGUUGUAAACUGCUUUUAUGCGGGGGAUAAAGUGCGCAACGUGUGGCGUUUUGUAGGUACCGCAUGAAUAAGGACCGGCUAAUUCCGUGCCAGCAGCCGCGGUAAUACGGAAGGUCCGGGCGUUAUCCGGAUUUAUUGGGUUUAAAGGGAGCGCAGGCGGAGGCUUAAGCGUGACGUGAAAUGUAGCCGCUCAACGGCUGAGUUGCGUCGCGAACUGGGUUUCUUGAGUGAGUGCGACGUNAGCGGAAUUCGUGGUGUAGCGGUGAAAUGCUUAGAUAUCACGAAGAACCCCGAUUGCGAAGGCAGCUGACGAGCCCUUUACUGACGCUAAAGCUCGAAGGUGCGGGUAUCGAACAGGAUUAGAUACCCUGGUAGUCCGCACGGUAAACGAUGGAUGCCCGCUGUUGGCGACACACUGUCAGCGGCCAAGCGAAAGCGUUAAGCAUCCCA
This 511-nucleotide ribosomal RNA is filed under the name uncultured rumen bacterium 626pARRO. RNAcentral's name for it is "bacterial SSU rRNA". It matches the Rfam family "Bacterial small subunit ribosomal RNA", at positions 358 to 871 of the family's 1533-position model. Lineage: Bacteria; Pseudomonadati; Bacteroidota. The record is from RNAcentral.